This 109-nucleotide non-coding RNA is filed under the name Mucor lusitanicus CBS 277.49. Its description in RNAcentral is "Mucor circinelloides f. lusitanicus CBS 277.49 Eukaryotic large subunit ribosomal RNA". It matches the Rfam family "Eukaryotic large subunit ribosomal RNA", at positions 829 to 938 of the family's 3401-position model. Lineage: Eukaryota; Fungi; Mucoromycota; Mucoromycetes; Mucorales; Mucoraceae. The record is from Rfam by way of RNAcentral.
AACUAAUGUUCAUAGGGUGAAGCCAGAGGAAGCUCGGGUGGAAGCUCGUAGCGACUCUGACAUGCAAAUAGAUCGUCAAAUUUGGGUAUAGGGGCGAAAGACUAAUCGA